AGUGAACGCUGGCGGUAGGCCUAACACAUGCAAGUCGAACGGCAGCACAGUAAGAGCUUGCUCUUACGGGUGGCGAGUGGCGGACGGGUGAGGAAUACAUCGGAAUCUACUUUUUCGUGGGGGAUAACGUAGGGAAACUUACGCUAAUACCGCAUACGACCUACGGGUGAAAGCAGGGGAUCUUCGGACCUUUCGCGAUUGAAUGAGCCGAUGUCGGAUUAGCUAGUUGGCGGGGUAAAGGCCCACCAAGGCGACGAUCCGUAGCUGGUCUGAGAGGAUGAUCAGCAACACUGGAAGUGAGACACGGUCCAGACUCCUAAGGGAGGCAGCAGUGGGGAAUAUUGGACAAUGGGCGCAAGCCUGAUCCAGCCAUACCGCGUGGGUGAAGAAGGCCUUCGGGUUGUAAAGCCCUUUUGUUGGGAAAGAAAAGCAGCAGGUUAAUACCCCGCUGUUCUGACGGUACCCAAAGAAUAAGCACCGGCUAACUUCGUG
This 492-nucleotide ribosomal RNA is filed under the name uncultured bacterium. Its description in RNAcentral is "partial 16S ribosomal RNA". It matches the Rfam family "Bacterial small subunit ribosomal RNA", at positions 29 to 507 of the family's 1533-position model. The record is from RNAcentral.